RNAcentral lists this ribosomal RNA (468 nucleotides) under uncultured bacterium. RNAcentral describes it as "partial 16S ribosomal RNA". It matches the Rfam family "Bacterial small subunit ribosomal RNA", at positions 28 to 507 of the family's 1533-position model. The record is from RNAcentral.
GACGAACGCUGGCGGCGUGCUUAACACAUGCAAGUCGAACGGAAAAGCUCCCUUUUGCUGUACUCGAUUAGCGACCAGCUGAUUAACACCUCAGUAACCUCCCCCUCCUUAUUGUGUAACUUCCGCUAAAUGGGGCUACUACCAGUUAAGAUCUCCUGCUUCCUCGUGGGCGCUUUCUGGAUUCUUCUGCGGUUGGGGAUGGACUCGCGGCUUAUCAGCUUGUUGGUGUGGUAGUGGCUCACCAAGGCGACGACGGGUAGCCGGCCUGAGAGGGCGACCGGCCACACUGGGACUGAGACACGGCCCAGACUCCUACGGGAGGCAGCAGUGGGGAAUAUUGCACAAUGGGCGGAAGCCUGAUGCAGCGACGCCGCGUGAGGGAUGACGGCCUUCGGGUUGUAAACCGCUUUCGGCAGUGAAGAAGCGAAAGUGACGGUAAUGGGUAAAGAAGCACCGGCUAACUACGUG